CUCUCACUAGCUCUCUUACUUCAGUUUUCUUUUAUCCAUCAUUUCUUUCCCUCUCUUGUUCCAAUUCUUCUCCAGACCAGUAUCAACUCCUUCUUCCAAACACAACCACCAUCCACGCACACCAUGCUUCAUCAUCUAACCAUCACCAACACUUUUUUCAUUCAUUUUCCUUGAAAUUUCUGUUCUUGGCCGUGGAGCUUGAAGGAGAAGGAGUUACCGCACUGUUUUCUCGUUUCUUGACCGAUCGUCGUGCGGUCAGUUACUACGCGUAGACCUCGAGGUUCAAUUGUGGAAAGCUUGGGAUUGACUGAACAAGCUUGUGAGCGAGACCUGCACCGCGAGACUAGAACAACUCGAGGCGUCUGUCAGUCGGUUCGUGAUGAUUCGUCCCUCGAGGAGGACCAGGAGCGUAAUGACCAUUACUGAAGCUUUCGACGAGGACCCGAACUUCAUGCAUGAACGGAUGAGGGUCGUUAACAGUAGUGUAGGAUAGGGUUGGUUAGAGCAUACUGGUAAUGGGAGUUUCUGUCAUAGCUCUGAUUCGUCAUUUGUAUUUUUGGGACAGGGUAGGUUCCGACAGAUUGCUUUUCGGUGUGGUUCUCCGUAGAUGGGAAUCGCAUGGAGUAGUCGGACGUAGGAGGUCUUUUGGAAGCCGUUAUGGGCUAACUUACUUUCUUGGAGGACUGUAAUUAUAAAAACUUAUGACUCUAUCUAUGGGUCGUAGUUGUUUGCCGUUGGGCAAUACUUUUAGUUACUCGAUGUCACUUUCCGUCACUUGAGGACACUCGUGACGAUGUUUUUAGUUGCAGCGAGGGCUGUACUCGUAUUGUAUGUUAGUUGCUGUUAAUCGCGAUUGGGUUGAGUCCUUAAU
Molecule: long non-coding RNA, 871 nt
Organism: Lotus japonicus
Lineage: Eukaryota; Viridiplantae; Streptophyta; Magnoliopsida; Fabales; Fabaceae
Exons: 3
Source: RefSeq, a predicted model, not a curated record